UUCUAAUUAGACAAUGACUGUCACGUGUAACAUUUUGAUUGGAUGUUGACUCUGUGGACAAUGAAAAUGUAUUGUUGUUGUCAACGUCCAAUCAGAACAUGACACAUGACAGUCAUCGUCC
Non-coding RNA from Glycine soja, 121 nucleotides. The record is from Rfam. NCBI's taxonomy places the organism in Eukaryota, Viridiplantae, Streptophyta, Magnoliopsida, Fabales, Fabaceae.